UGCGAAACUCGAAUGAACGAACGGAGAGAUUCAUCGUCAUUCCUCGGUGCACUUGCGCUGGUUCGAUGUCUAAGGUCUCGAUCUGUGGCACUGCCAGUGUUCGUCGCGUCCGUGGACGGCGUGCACUUCUCUCUUAGUAAUACAUCGCGACCCGUUCGGUGUCGGUCUAAGUGCCUUUCGGGAGUCUUCGCUUCCUCGCGGAGUGUAGACCGUGAAGUGCACCGACCGGCCGCCGGACGGUAUAUUAUACGAAACGCUCACGCGCUCGCGCGCGUCCGGCCCGACGCAAGGCAACGUCGUAUCCUCUGUCCUGCCCGAGUGCGGACAGGGGUGCGGCGCGCCUGUCGUCGCUGCCGUGCUGUCUCGGACUGUGUGCGUAUCUGUCUGCGAUGAUUCAGUUUCGGGCA
RNAcentral lists this ribosomal RNA (407 nucleotides) under Pseudopanthera macularia. RNAcentral describes it as "eukaryotic LSU rRNA". Lineage: Eukaryota; Metazoa; Arthropoda; Insecta; Lepidoptera; Geometridae. The record is from RNAcentral.